This 567-nucleotide transfer RNA is filed under the name Bacillus subtilis. RNAcentral describes it as "tRNA-Asp". The stretch from base 1 to 74 matches the Rfam family "tRNA". The record is from RNAcentral. Lineage: Bacteria; Bacillati; Bacillota; Bacilli; Caryophanales; Bacillaceae.
GGUCCGGUAGUUCAGUUGGUUAGAAUGCCUGCCUGUCACGCAGGAGGUCGCGGGUUCGAGUCCCGUCCGGACCGCCAUUAAUGUAAACGAAACGAUCAUGUUUUCGUUUUUUUUGUGUUUUCUUUUACUGUAUCUUCUGCUUGGUGUCAUAGCCAAGCUUUCUUUAUAUCGGGAACAUCUUGGAUAUUCCAGCAAAAUUCGAUAAACUAGGAAGAGCACAAAUAGGCAUAAGCAGGGUUGAAAGGAGGUUUUGGUUCAUGGAUGAAUUUGAUUUGAUACAUAGCAUUACUCCGCGGACCAUUCACCAUUCUUCCGUUGAUGUAGGAAUAGGUGAUGAUGCAGCGCUCUACACUGCGAAACACGGCGUUCAGGAAAUUGUUUGUGUUGAUACUAUGGUAGAAGACGUGCACUUCAAAUUACACUAUUCCUCACCUGAAGAUAUCGGGUACAAGGCGUUAGCCGUUAAUAUAAGUGAUAUUGCCGCGAUGGGAGGCAUUCCUAAGUUUUAUCUGGUAUCACUUGCGGUACCUUCAAAAUGGACUGAAUCUGAAAUCAAGGCGAUGUAUG